This 301-nucleotide ribosomal RNA is filed under the name uncultured bacterium. Its description in RNAcentral is "partial 16S ribosomal RNA". It matches the Rfam family "Bacterial small subunit ribosomal RNA", at positions 509 to 807 of the family's 1533-position model. The record is from RNAcentral.
CAGUCGCCACGGGAAUACAGAGGGUGCGAGCGUUAAUCGGAUUUACUGGGCGUAAAGCGUGCGUAGGCGGCUUCUUAAGUCGGAUGUGAAAUCCCUGAGCUUAACUUAGGAAUUGCAUUCGAUACUGGGAAGCUAGAGUAUGGGAGAGGAUGGUAGAAUUCCAGGUGUAGCGGUGAAAUGCGUAGAGAUCUGGAGGAAUACCGAUGGCGAAGGCAGCCAUCUGGCCUAAUACUGACGCUGAGGUACGAAAGCAUGGGGAGCAAACAGGAUUAGAGACCCCCGUAGUCCCUGUCUCUUAUAC